UCCUCAGCCAAUGGCAGCGAGAGGGCGACUGACAACAACCCCACCCCUCCGCAGUGUGGGUACAUUGAUAAUAAAUCAACGGUGUGCCGGUGGAUGUCAAGAAGUGGAGUUUAAACCGAGAGGAAAAGUCAGUUUAGCCACCUUUUUAUGACAUUUUAUAUUCGACAUCGCUGUUACCCAGUGGAUGCAUUCAACUAAGGAAAGUCACACGGAGGAGGAGGGGUGAUAUAUGCGCAAAUAAAGAGUUUUCUGAAAACAUAAUGCAUGCACAGUAUAAUAGUGAUGUGAAUACAUAGUCCUAUUUCUCAUUAAAAUAUAUAGGCCUAUGUAUAUCUCUAUUCCAGUACAUCACUAUAUUCCAGUGCAUCUUCACUGAGUGCGUAUAAAAGUCAUCCAAUAAUGUCAUUUUUUUUUUUUUCAGAUUGACAUUUCAAAAGUUCCAGACAAUCGAGGAAAAUCAAAACAUCCUAACAUGAAUCUGCGGACACCCGAACAAAACGAAUGAAAGCUUAUUAUUUUAUUUUAUUUUUUUACUGUUUAUAAUUCUGUAUGGUGUUAAAUAGUGUGUAACAAUAAGCGUGACAAAAAGACAGUGGGAAAAAUCGCCUGGACUGAAGCAGGGCUCUCCAUGUGAAGGCUGCACGGUCCUCUCACAUUCCAGCGCGUCGCAAAAAAAGGGGAUUUAGAGCGACUUAUUUUCUGAAAACUGUCCUCCCAUCCACAGAGCCAGCCAGUCUGCUCCCAUCAGCCUGAUACGGGCCUGCACAAAAAUUCACCCAGAAUAUUUACUGGGGACUUCCCACCGAGAGACACCGAGCAGCCGAGGACUAUUUAAAGGCACCGGAGCUGCAGUGUGCAUACACCCAGAGAUGAGGAGAAAUAAAGCGGGGGGGGGGGGGAGACAGAUAUAGGCCGCUUCUGCUAAUGGAGACUUUCACUUAUUUCACCUGGCACGCGUUCUGCAAGAAGACGAUGUGAAGAUAAAUAUGAAGAUUUCGACGAAAGGAAGCGGCUGAAUGGAUCAUAACCCCGGACUUCUUUUAACAACCAUCCGCAGAGGAAAAGUUUGGCUGUGAGUCUGCGAGGAACUACACAUUCAGGAGUUCGCCAACAAACAAACGGAUGCAAUUAAACACACUCGCCUUCAGAUCAUCAAUGAGGAGGCAAAGUCAAGACGGGUGGAAAAACCAACAAGGACAAAUGUAAGACGGAAGAAGACUCUGCUGCUUCAAGGUUACACUAGAACUGUGUUAAGAGCCCAACUUCACACAAUCUGGAUAGAUCUUACUUCUUCUACAAACACACAUCACAAGCUGUUUUUUAUUUUAUACAUCCUUAUCAUUUACAGCCUGAUAUAACUCUUAAUUGAUGUUAUUUUUUGGGAUAUUUGCUAAAAAAAAAUCUUCUGUUUCUUCAUUGCCACCACACUGUCUUGGAAGUAAUAAAAAAUAGUUUGCAAAUAAAGACUAUCAUUGUCAAACCA
Sander lucioperca (pikeperch) is the source of this 1483-nucleotide long non-coding RNA. RefSeq lists it as uncharacterized. The record is from RefSeq and is a predicted model, not a curated record. The transcript is spliced from 3 exons. NCBI's taxonomy places the organism in Eukaryota, Metazoa, Chordata, Actinopteri, Perciformes, Percidae.